Molecule: long non-coding RNA, 2064 nt
Organism: Anopheles stephensi (Asian malaria mosquito)
Lineage: Eukaryota; Metazoa; Arthropoda; Insecta; Diptera; Culicidae
Exons: 3
Source: RefSeq, a predicted model, not a curated record
UUUCCAGUUAUUGGAAGCAACUAAGGCGCAGGCGAUGCACCUAUGGAUUAUCAUUCAGAAGGAUCUUCCAAUGUGAUGGCAGUAGAAGCCGGUGAAACGACAAGCGAACCUGAAUGUGAUGAGUUUGUUACGGACUAUUUAGUUGAAAGCUCUGACGAUGAAAGAAUGGACACAGAACGCACAGAAGGGUAUGAUGUAGAAGCCGAAUUACGUCGAUGGGCAAUAUCCACCAAUCAAUCGUAUAAUUCUAUAAGUCAAGUUAUGGAAAUCAUACGAAACGUGAGUUCUUGUAAUCUUCCAAAAGAUGCUAGAACUUUGCUGAAGACUCAUCGAAAUGACUCAAAUGAAGUUGUAACGAUAAACGGAAGCCAGUAUUGGUAUGACGGGAUAAGAUGAUGUCUGCUCAACGAACUAAGCCGCAGCGAUAUAGCUCUCGAUUCGUAUUCUAAGCUGGAACUUAAUGUUUCUAUUGAUGGAUUACCCAUAUUUAAAAGCAGCAAUCUUCAAUUUUGGUCAAUAUUAUUCAACGUUCAUAACAUUCCAGAAGUGCCGGCAAUGACCAUUGCAGUUUACAGCGGAUCAACAAAAACCAGCAGAUAUCGAUCAAUUUCUUGAGCCCUUCGUUGAUGAACUUAACUUCCUUAUGGAAAAUGGAAUAACCAUCAAUAACAAAAAGAUUUCCAUAUAAUUACGUGUCAUUAUAGCUGAUUCACCUGCUCGAGCAUAUUUUAAAGGUGUUGCUGGUUUCAACUCACAAGAUGGUUGCUUGAAAUGCGCAACGAAAGGAAGAAGCCUUAAUGGAAGAACUGCAUUUUCCAGUCAUACUGAACUUGAGCGAACAGAUCGUGGGUUCAGAUAACGAAUUUACGAAGGUCAUCAUAAAUAUUGUACUCCAUUGUUGAAACUAAAUGACUUCGACAUUAUCAAACAAACAAUCGUCGCAGAUCAACUACAUUUGAUAGACUUAGGUAUCACCAAACGCACGAUCGUAAGUUUCAUGGAUGGAAAAUUUGGCGUUAAAAAAAAGCUUAACAAUACACAAAUUAACAAUUUGUCUGCAAUGCUGACCAACAUCAAACUUCCUAUUGAAAUUCAUAGAAAGUUCCGUUCAUUGCGUGGCUAUAAGCACUGGAAAGGCUCAGAAUAUUCCUAAUUUCUAUUUUAUGCCAGUUUCGUUAUACUCAAAGAGAUAACAAAUGAAGAACAAUACAAGCACUUCAUGCUGUUCUUUUGUAGCUUAACUUUGUUUUCCUCAAAUGUUUACAAAGACCAUUGGCCUUUAGCAAACACGUUGAUUCAACUUUAUGUAAAACAUUACGCAAAUAUCUAUGGCCCGGAAUUUAUUUCAAGCAAUGUACACAAUCUGCUACAUAUCUUCAAAGAAGUUGAACAAUUUGGUCCAAUUAGUAGCAUAUCUUCUUAUCCAUUUGAAAACCAUUUGCAGCAUUUAAAACGUUCAUUGCGUUCUGGCUGGAAAUGCUUAGGGCAAACUAUAAAUAGACUUUCCGAAAAAGAAGUUUUUAACACUCGUUCCGCUAAUCUAUGUUUAAAUUUCCCUUCUGUUCAUACCAGAACUGGCACGGUAACGUUACAUGUCCGCAAAGCCUUUCUUUUAAAAACUGGGGAACGUAACGAAUGGUUUUUGACCAAAAGUGGUAAUGUGUGAAAAUUUAUCACUGCACAUGAACAAGACCGUAACAUAAAAAUUUUGGCGAAAAAAUUGUCUCAAACAGACGAUCGUUUUGUAUAUCCUUUGAAUUCUAAAUUUAUGCAUAUGCAUCAUGGAAACCUGAGCGAUCUGGAACAUACGGAAUUGGAUGUUAAUAUUGGGGAUGUACGAUGUAAAUUGGUAGCUGUUCCCCUUUCCAAAGAAAAUGAGUAUCAGUAUGUUCCAUUAAUUCAUACCCUCGUAGGCUAAUAUUUGCAUUUCUUAGAUAAUAAAUAAUUAAUAUGAUUUUCUUUCUGUAUCGUUCUUUUUAAUUACUAUAAUUUAUGGAUUAUAACAUUUCAAAAAUUUACAUAUUAUACAUGAUACAUUUUUCAUGAGUUUUUAUUAUUAACAUA